This is a long non-coding RNA of Notechis scutatus (mainland tiger snake), 1970 nucleotides long. Lineage: Eukaryota; Metazoa; Chordata; Lepidosauria; Squamata; Elapidae. The record is from Ensembl.
CAUUAACUUAAGUGUGCACAAUAAGACAUUCUAUUUUAGAAAUGGGAAUAUGUUUGGCUGCUUUAGAUUUAAUUCAUUGUAGUCCUCAUGAAUACCUUCCCUAAAGUUGAAAACUAAUUUGCUUUUAAUCUACACUCUACAUCCACAGGAAUCUGAGGAAGAGGAUGAAGAUGAGGAUGAGGAGGAUGAAGAGGAAGAUGACGAUGAGGAUGAGAAUGGUGAUUCCUCUGAGGAGGGAGGAGACUCUUCAGAUUCAAGUAGUGAAGAGGAGAGUGAAGAUGGGGAAGAGAAUGAAGAAGAGGAUGACGAAGAAGAUGACGAUGACGACGAGGACAAUGAAUCAGAAGGCAGCAGCAGUUCCUCAUCCUCUUCAGGAGACUCUUCCGAUUCGGACUCCAACUGAAUUGUCUUUCAUCUUCCACCUUCCUUGCUGUACUUUAUUCGGUUUUGUUUUUCCGGAUAAUAGUAACAUUGCAGCUGGAAAGCUGGGAAUGGGGAAGAAACAGAGGGGGGGCGGGGGCGGGGGAGGGAAUCACUGUGGUUUAAUUCACUUCCUUUCUUCACACGCCUCACAUUGCAUUAACGAUGUGUGGGUGUGGCAGAGAGGAGCAAGGGGCAAGGUACACAAUAGCUGACAACCAGCUGAGGGGUGUACUUUUCCCUUUUUUUAUGGCUGAUGAUAGUGUGGGGAGAGAACUUCAUUAUAUAAUCCCUUCUCUCUCCCUCCCCUUAAAUCUCUGUUUAUGAGAGAUGACAGGGGUCAUAGCAAAAUCCAGACUCCUUUAACUUCUUUUCCCCCCUCUCAUCUUCAUCCUUCUUCCAACCCCCAGUUCUAGCCACCAGCUUGGGACUUUGUACAAAUCCUUUUUUAAACAACAACAUGGCAAUGAGAGACAUUUUCCCCUUUUUCUCCAUCAACCCCAGCAAACAGCCAAGGAGAGAUGGAUUCUGAAAGAGCACGAGCUGUGGGAAUUUGCCAGUGAGCCCCAUCACUCCUCAUAAUGGACAAUCUUGUAUAGUCUUGAUCUUUCACAUUUUAACAAAAGAGAAAGAGAGAAAGCAAACAAAGUGGCUGCAACUGCACUUAGCAAUUUCCUGUGACAAACUGGAUAUCCAGCAUUUCCUGCUGAGGGAAAUGGGAGUUGGGGAGGGUCAUAUUUUGUGUGAGCGUGUUGCAAGAGUCAAGGGAUAGAAGAGGAACUGAAGAACGGGAUUUUUUUAAUUUUAUUUUUUUGCAAAGGGGAAAUGUCUGGCAUACUGUUGAAGAUGGAGAGAAUUUCAAGAACUUCAAGUGACUGGCUUUAUUUUGCUGGAGAUGGACUUUUCUGUCAUUUUUCUGACCAGCGUUUGGAUAAAGACCAUAGUAGCCAGACCCCUUUGGGUUGAUGUUGUUGUUAAUAUAUAUAUUUUUUUUUACAAUGAAGUGACCAAUAAUUGUACCAAAAUGGGGCAUUUUGUUGACUGUCUUUGGGAGGGGUGGUUGGUUGUGGGGAUCAUAUGUGUCAUUAGCAUUUUUUAAAAAAUAUUUUAUAAACCAAGUAAGACAACCAUCUUUUUUUACAACAAAACGUUCCCUCUUUGACAUUAACCUCUUUACGUGUCUUUUACCAAAUGCAGAAUUUAGUAGUUUUAAGAUCUUGAGGAAAAAUGAUUUCUGUGAGACCGUGUAUUGAAGAAAUACAAAUGUAUGUUUUUUUUUCCAACAUGUCUUGAACACACUAAGUUGAAUUUUCAAUUCAAUUCUGGACAGAAAUGUGAUGUCAGGAAAAGAUCAGGCGCACAAUUUCUCUCUUCCUGCCCCAACCCUCUCUUUUCUUUAGCAUGGCUUUUAAAUAUCUGUGGAAGUUCUGUAAAUUAGGCUAUCAUUUAGGAGAAACUUAGCUAAGCAUAUAAAUCACAAAUAACCAAUCCUAGGUGAAGUUAAUAUUUUGUAUGUAGGCAUUGCAAUAAAACAAAGUUAAGUGAUAACA